Molecule: long non-coding RNA, 1874 nt
Organism: Ostrinia nubilalis (European corn borer)
Lineage: Eukaryota; Metazoa; Arthropoda; Insecta; Lepidoptera; Crambidae
Exons: 3
Source: RefSeq, a predicted model, not a curated record
UGCGUGCUUUCAAAAUGCCCCUAACCGGCGAGGAUACCAGCAGUGAUUUUGCUCAUCAAGACAAGCAAAAAUUGAUAAAUGUGAGAAGAUACAUCAAAGGCCGCAUAUCACUUGUGGAAAAUGAGCUGGGGGACAUUUCUACCGUAAAAUCCACCGCCAUGUUGGAUGUUGCCGCCGAACGAAUUAGCAGUCUUUUUACGAGAUUGGAGGACGUCAAUCUCAAUUUGGAAUCGAUGGAUACUUCAGAGACCGCUGAGGGAUCGAAAAUCGAGUCAAGGUGUCAAAGAAUACUAACUGACAUUCGUGAACGUCGUGAGGCGCUGAAGCAUCAUUGUAACUCAUCGGCGAGUGACUCCGGAUCGACGCAAGAGCACCAGCAUAAACCGAAUCUUCCCAAGAUAUCGUUGCCCAAGUUCAGUGGAAGUUAUGGAGACUGGCUGUCGUUCAAGGAUUUAUACGUCACUAUGGUACACGGAAAUGAAGAUUUAAGUCCCGUGCAGAAGUUCUAUUACUUGAAGUCGUGUUUGGUCGGCGAAGCUGCCUCUUUGGUUACGACUUUGGAAUGUACGAACGAAAACUACGUGAAGGCAUGGUCUGCGAUUACAUCAAGAUAUGACAAUAAGCAGCGCUGCCAAGCAUUAGAUAUGCUAUGCCGUGAUGAAGCAGUGAGCACUACAAAGGUCGUGCCUCCGGCAAAGAGCACUAGUCAUGUGACUGUUGGCAGCGGCAGAAGUGCAAAUGGAGAAAAGGUGCGAACAGAGCUACCUUGAUUCUGUGUCCAGGGAUGAAGAAGGAAGGUAUCAUGUCGAUUUGCCAAUAAACAAAGAACUUCUACCAAAACUAGGUAAUUCUUACAAUGUUGCUUUUCGUUGUCUUAUGUCAUUGGAGAAAAAAUUCCAAAAUAAUUCUGACUUUUUUAAGGCCUAUAAAGCAUUUAUUGAGGAAUUUCUUAAACUUGGCCAUGCUCACUUUGUUCAUAUAAAUCCACACAAAAGUGAUGAAAUUGAAUAUUACAUGCCUCAUCAUGCUGUCUUGAAGGAAAGUUCCUCUACUACCAAGCUUAGGAUUGUAUUCAAUGGUUCUCAACCCACUUCUACGGGCUUGAGCUUAAAUGAUGUACUUCUUGUGGGUCCUGUUGUUCAACCUGACAUGUUUACCAUACUUCUGAGAUUUCGUACCUAUGUUUAUGUUUUUGUGUCUGAUAUAACUAAAAUGUACAGGCAAAUUCGAGUGAAACCUCAGUAUCAAGCACUUCAGCGCAUCCUGUGGAGAGAUGAUCCAUCGCAUGAUAUACAGUGUCUUCAGCUGGAUACUGUUACAUAUGGAACAGCAUCAGCCAGUUACCUUGCUACACGGACAUUGGUGAAAUUGGUUGAGGAUGAAGGUGAUAAUUUUCCAUCUGCUUCUAAGGCAUUACUUCAAAGUACCUUCGUUGAUGACAUUUUGCAUGGCGAGAAUGAUCUUUCUUCUGCAUUAAAUACCAUAAAUGAGUUGCAAGAGUUGUUAGCUAAAGGAAGGUUUGAAUUGCACAAAUGGUACUCUAAUAGCUCAAUGUUAAUGUCGCAAUUUCCUCCUGAAAAACUUGAAAAAUGUCAUGUUUCCUUUGACAAUAAGGAAGGUUCUUGUAUUAAAACGCUAGGUUUGAAGUGGGAGCCAAACUCAGAUAAAUUUCAGGUCGAGGUACCUAAAUAUACUUCCACUAGUCAUACUAAAAGAAAUAUUUUGUCUGAUAUUGCUAAGGUCUAUGAUCCCUUGGGUUUUAUUGCUCCAGUUACAGUCUAUGCUAAGUUGAUAAUGCAAGAUAUCUGGAAGGCAAACGUUGACUGGGAUUCUGAGGUGCCUGACGCUAUUUUAUCUAAAUGGAAUUUUUUUUG